This 562-nucleotide ribosomal RNA is filed under the name Hanseniaspora uvarum. RNAcentral describes it as "partial large subunit ribosomal RNA". It matches the Rfam family "Eukaryotic large subunit ribosomal RNA", at positions 73 to 653 of the family's 3401-position model. The record is from RNAcentral. Lineage: Eukaryota; Fungi; Ascomycota; Saccharomycetes; Saccharomycodales; Saccharomycodaceae.
AUACUUAGUACGGCGAGUGAAGCGGUAAAAGCUCAAAUUUGAAAUCUGGUACUUUCAGUGCCCGAGUUGUAAUUUGUAGAAUUUGUCUUUGAUUAGGUCCUUGUCUAUGUUCCUUGGAACAGGACGUCAUAGAGGGUGAGAAUCCCGUUUGGCGAGGAUACCUUUUCUCUGUAAGACUUUUUCGAAGAGUCGAGUUGUUUGGGAAUGCAGCUCAAAGUGGGUGGUAAAUUCCAUCUAAAGCUAAAUAUUGGCGAGAGACCGAUAGCGAACAAGUACAGUGAUGGAAAGAUGAAAAGAACUUUGAAAAGAGAGUGAAAAAGUACGUGAAAUUGUUGAAAGGGAAGGGCAUUUGAUCAGACAUGGUGUUUUUUGCAUGCACUCGCCUCUCGUGGGCUUGGGCCUCUCAAAAAUUUCACUGGGCCAACAUCAAUUCUGGCAGCAGGAUAAAUCAUUAAGAAUGUAGCUACUUCGGUAGUGUUAUAGCUUUUUGGAAUACUGUUAGCCGGGAUUGAGGACUGCGCUUCGGCAAGGAUGUUGGCAUAAUGGUUAAAUGCCGCCCGUC